This 818-nucleotide long non-coding RNA is filed under the name Gossypium barbadense (sea-island cotton). RNAcentral's name for it is "long non-coding RNA (GBAR_LNC016892)". Lineage: Eukaryota; Viridiplantae; Streptophyta; Magnoliopsida; Malvales; Malvaceae. The record is from RNAcentral.
AGGUCCCUUUUCUCUGCUAGGGUUCCAGGCCUAGCCUUGGAACCCCGCCGCCGUCACGCCUCCCCUGCCUGGUGGCCAGAGCCAUGCAAGGGCGCCUUCUAGCCGCGCGUUGAAGCGUGUUCUGAGAUCGGGGCUAUGGAACAAGGAAACGAGGGGAAGAACAAAAGCUUUAGCCCCUCCCUAUACCCAUGUCCGGCGACGACGAAGGACCAUCGACGGCAGGCCUAAGGGCCGAUUCAGGUAACCCCUUUUCUUUUUAUUUUCUUUGCUAAUUAUUUUAAAAUCAGUUUGUAAAAAAAAAUAAAUACGCAAAAAAUAAAGAAAAAUGAAGAGAAAGCAAUUCAAUUCAACAUUUUCUAAUCUUGUUUUCUGUUUUUUAUUCCAAUAUAUGUGUGUUCGUAAAAAAAAAAAACUACAACGAUAGCAUCUUGGCCUUUAUAGCCACGUUACAACCCUUUGAUUUCUAUUUUCUUUGUCGUUUUGUUGUUUGGUUUGUUCUGCUGUUGCGUGUAGUCUUGGUUUGCAGGUGUCAGGAGGUUGGUGAUUGGCGAGUGGCAGCGGUGUGCGGUGGUGGGCGUGUGCAGAAGGUGGCAGCAGCAACAUGCGGCUAGGGUUUCUCUUUGUGUUUGAAAGCUGGUGUAAUUUGCGCCAUUUGGGUUUAGGGUUAAUUUUGGGUAGUGGGCUGGUAUUGUAAUUUGGGCUUGUGGGUUCUGAUGGACUGUAAUUUUUUAUUUAUUUUUGGGUUGGUUGGUUUUGCUAGUGGGCCGGGCAGAAAAUGGGUCUUACAAUAACAAUAUAUCAAAUUUUUACAAUUUAAU